This is a long non-coding RNA of Sitophilus oryzae (rice weevil), 1133 nucleotides long. RefSeq lists it as uncharacterized. Lineage: Eukaryota; Metazoa; Arthropoda; Insecta; Coleoptera; Curculionidae. The transcript has 2 exons. The record is from RefSeq and is a predicted model, not a curated record.
UUUGCGUAUUCCCCUACGCCAAAGCCUACGCUAUAAUUUCGAAUUUUUAGAAAAAGUGGGAUUUCUCACUCUCUAAUUGGUCGAUUACUAGAGUUUCCAUAUUAGGAAUGAUUUUACCGUCCGUUAGUUAGGGUCAAGUUAGAGUCUUUCUUAAAAACAAUGAGUAUCUAAAAAAAAAUCUGGGCUGAAUAUUUAAAUCAGAGUAAAGACAAAAUUCCCAACAUUCCAUUUAUUAACAAAAAUAAUAAUUCGACUGCAUAAUUAAGAAAAUAGAAACGAUAAACAAUCGAACAAAUUUUGAACGAAAAAGGAUCGCGCGCAAACCUGUUGUUGAUGAAAGAUGACACCUAACAAGCACCUAACCUCACCGCGAUACUUCAAAACAUUCAAAAUCUGAAAAUAAAAGGGAAAUUGAGAAAUUCCUAGGCAAAUAUUGAUUUUCCAGGCAUAUAUGGCGUUCAGAACUAUGUUAACACGAUCCCUAUCGUCAUAGAAUUAGUGACCUAACAGUUAAAUAAACCAACAACAGUUAAGAAAACCAACCAGUCAACUAUGAAUGGUUUCAAGCUGGACAUGCUGAUUGAAUCCGCUAGAUGCGCCAAAAAUUAGGACCUGAAACCCGGAUGUUCCUAAAAAGUUGCCAGUAUUAUGCAUACAAGUGUAUUAAAAGAGGAUGGGGUUACGUGAUACGUAACAAUAGAUACCAAUUCCUUCAGUUGAUCAUCGAAGGAAAGAUUAAGGGAAAGAGAGGAUGAUAUGGCUUCGUAACAUCAGACAGUGGAUGAGACUCAGGACAGUGGAAGAUCUGCUCCAUGCAAUGUGAAAUAAAAAAGUGGCUGACUAAUGUGAUCGUGCACUUCCAUUAGUGGAUUUGCAGCAGAAGUCUUAAGGGACUGACUGCUAACAUUAAAUAGUGAUUUGAUAGUGGUUAUCAGUGCAAAAAAUGUGAUAUGUAAUUGUUUUGUGUAUGAUAAAUGAUUAACUAGAGACUUGGUUUGUUGGAACAGAGGAAGCCUUAUUUUUUAUGAUGAUAAAUUAAAGAAAUGGGUUUUGUUCUACAAAGAUAUAAGGUAUGCCUGAUACACACAAUUGUUUAGGAAAAAAAAUAAAAUUAAAUAAUAAAAGUACAUAGU